UCGCAGCUUCUGCUGCUACUUUGGAUAACUUCGCUAACGCGAAGCUAAUACAUGUAAGCACAGCGAGCGGUCACUUAUGCCGGUUCGCCGGUUCGAUCGUCUCGUGCUAAUGGUUGGAACAAAAACCAACGCCAGCAAUGGCAGUUUUUGUAAAGUGUUGACUCAAACCAUUUAGCCCAAGCACGCUUCGGCGUGCGUGCCCCGAUGAGUCUCUGACCUAUCAGCUUUGACGGUAAUGUAUUGGAUUACCGUGGCGAUCACGGGUACGGGGAAUUAGGGUUCGAUUCCGGAGAGGGAGCCUGAGAAACAGCUACCACUUCUACGGAGGGCAGCAGGCGCGUAAAUUGCCCAAUGCCAAAUUUGGUGAGGCAGCGAAGAGAAAUAGCGACCCAGACCUUCGGGUGUGGGAUCGGAAUGGGUGGUAUUUACAACCACCAACGAGUAACAAUUGGAGGACAAGUCUGGUGCCAGCACCCGCGGUAAUUCCAGCUCCAAUAGCGUAUAUUAAUGUUGUUGCUGUUAAAGGGUUCGUAGUUGA
This 538-nucleotide ribosomal RNA is filed under the name Ichthyobodo sp. OGT1_1. RNAcentral's name for it is "SSU rRNA". It matches the Rfam family "Eukaryotic small subunit ribosomal RNA", at positions 125 to 637 of the family's 1831-position model. The record is from RNAcentral. Lineage: Eukaryota; Euglenozoa; Kinetoplastea; Prokinetoplastida; Ichthyobodonidae.